This 373-nucleotide ribosomal RNA is filed under the name uncultured bacterium. Its description in RNAcentral is "bacterial SSU rRNA". It matches the Rfam family "Bacterial small subunit ribosomal RNA", at positions 523 to 898 of the family's 1533-position model. The record is from RNAcentral.
AUACGGAGGAUGCAAGCGUUAUCCGGAUUCAUUGGGUUUAAAGGGUGCGCAGGCGGAUUAGUAAGUCAGUGGUGAAAGCCUACAGCUUAACUGUAGAACUGCCGUUGAUACUGCUAAUCUUGAGUGUAGUUGAGGUAGGCGGAAUGUGUCAUGUAGCGGUGAAAUGCUUAGAUAUGACACAGAACACCGAUCGUGAAGACAGCUUACCAAGCUACAACUGACGCUCAUGCACGAAAGCGUGGGGAUCAAACAGGAUUAGAUACCCUGGUAGUCCACGCUGUAAACGAUGGACACUCGCUGUUGGCGAUACACUGCCAGCGGCUGAGCGAAAGUAUUAAGUGUCCCACCUGGGGAGUACGAUCGCAAGGUUGAA